GCGUCGGUGGUGCAACGGUUAGCAUACGCUCCCGGAAAGAGUGAGGUAAGGGUUUGAGUCUCGGCUGACGCA
Parelaphostrongylus tenuis is the source of this 72-nucleotide non-coding RNA. The record is from the annotation of a GenBank genome assembly. NCBI's taxonomy places the organism in Eukaryota, Metazoa, Nematoda, Chromadorea, Rhabditida, Metastrongylidae.